UUUGCGACUGUCGGAUGUGUGUUUUCUCGAGUUUGCGCGAAUUCUCUAAAGGGUUCUUUUCCAAUGAGUUCUGAUUGACUAUAGUUGUUUUAGAACGUUUUCGUAGUGCUGAAUUUUUAGAAUAAAGGAAACAUUUAUCAUAUCAUUCUGUGAUUUGGUGUUUUGCGUGUGCAAGGGUGAAGAAAAUCUAUCAAAAAGCUGACCUUGACGUCUGGCUGGACCACUGGGUGCUGAAUUCCUGAAGUCUACCACGGGUGUAUGUGCAAUGAUUCUUGAAGUGUGCCAGGCGCAGGACUGAAAGAUUUCUGUGCUCUCGAUGUUGAUGCAACCUAUGUAAUCCAGUGACCGGAAGCGGAGUGUUGUAUUUUUAUUAUCAAUUUUAUUCGUGCUACAUUUUUAUGUGACGGUUGUGUGGAAAAGGAAAAGAGCAAUAACUUGAAAUCACAUUCAAUUGUUGAAGAUUGCUGAGUGCUACUAUUUUACAAUUCUGUUUACAAUACUGUCACAACCGAACGUGCCCAUUAAUACUAAAUAGGAAGCGACAGUCACCCCAGCUUCACAGCCUCUGAGCAUCGAUAUACCACGGUCAAAGCUAUAGGGAAGCGAAACCUGUCUGAUAAUAAUGUGCCUCUUCUGAUAUACCUAUGAUAGUGUGUGAGAGAGCAGCAAAAGAGUGAGUUUUAAUCAAAAAUCUGCUUCGAAGGAUAUCGACUAGUGUUAGCGGUUUUAACUGGACCGGAGAAUUAUACCGCAUUUGUGUGUGGUUGGUUUUUGUAUGUGGUGAUUGAUCUUUUUGUAACCUAGCAACUUUUGACUAGUGGCAAAAUUAUCUGUGACAGCUGAUAAGAACAAAAGUGCGGUCUAUCACCUUUUUUAUGGAGCAGUCCUGAUUACAACAGUAAAAAUCUUGGAAAAGAACCCUUACGCGUCACCGAUAUACCUUCAAGGCUUUUCAACAGUGCCCCACCUAUGUUCGAUUCGACGAAAGUUACCCACUCGACCGGGGGUAAAACCAGCACUUAACAAUGACUCUAAUUGUUAGAGGCGUCAAUCACUG
Long non-coding RNA from Aedes albopictus (Asian tiger mosquito), 1057 nucleotides. RefSeq lists it as uncharacterized. The record is from RefSeq and is a predicted model, not a curated record. The transcript has 2 exons. NCBI's taxonomy places the organism in Eukaryota, Metazoa, Arthropoda, Insecta, Diptera, Culicidae.